GCUACGAUAGAUCAACGGUAGAUCGUCUCCAACUUAUUCAUAAGAAACCUUACAAGUUAGGAGGAAAUUGCGGUUCGACUCCGUAUUGUAGCA
This is a non-coding RNA of Desarmillaria tabescens, 93 nucleotides long. The record is from the annotation of a RefSeq genome assembly. Lineage: Eukaryota; Fungi; Basidiomycota; Agaricomycetes; Agaricales; Physalacriaceae.